Molecule: ribosomal RNA, 254 nt
Filed under: uncultured bacterium
Lineage: Bacteria
Description: partial 16S ribosomal RNA
Rfam family: Bacterial small subunit ribosomal RNA
Source: RNAcentral
UACGUAGGGUGCGAGCGUUGUCCGGAAUUAUUGGGCGUAAAGAGCUCGUGGGCGGUGUGUCGCGUCGGCCGUGAAAACCUGCAGCUUAACUGUGGGCUUGCGGUCGAUACGGGCAUCACUGGAGUUCGGCAGGGGAGACUGGAAUUCCUGGUGUAGCGGUGAAAUGCGCAGAUAUCAGGAGGAACACCGGUGGCGAAGGCGGGUCUCUGGGCCGAUACUGACGCUGAGGAGCGAAAGCGUGGGGAGCGAACAGG